Molecule: ribosomal RNA, 254 nt
Filed under: uncultured bacterium
Lineage: Bacteria
Description: partial 16S ribosomal RNA
Rfam family: Bacterial small subunit ribosomal RNA
Source: RNAcentral
UACGUAGGGACCAAGCGUUGUCCGGAAUUAUUGGGCGUAAAGAGCUCGUAGGCGGUUCGGUAAGUCGGGUGUGAAAAUCCAGGGCUCAACCCUGGGACGCCACCCGAUACUGCUGUGACUAGAGUCCGGUAGAGGAGCGUGGAAUUCCUGGUGUAGCGGUGAAAUGCGCAGAUAUCAGGAGGAACACCAGCGGCGAAGGCGGCGCUCUGGGCCGGUACUGACGCUGAGGAGCGAAGGCGUGGGGAGCAAACAGG